UACGGAGGAUCCAAGCGUUAUCCGGAUUUAUUGGGUUUAAAGGGUGCGUAGGCGGUUUAUUAAGUCAGGGGUGAAAGACGGCAGCUUAACUGUCGCAGUGCCUUUGAUACUGAUGAACUUGAAUGAACUAGAAGUAGGCGGAAUGUGACAAGUAGCGGUGAAAUGCAUAGAUAUGUCACAGAACACCGAUUGCGAAGGCAGCUUACUAUGGUAUUAUUGACGCUGAGGCACGAAAGCGUGGGGAUCAAACAGG
Molecule: ribosomal RNA, 253 nt
Filed under: uncultured bacterium
Lineage: Bacteria
Description: partial 16S ribosomal RNA
Rfam family: Bacterial small subunit ribosomal RNA
Source: RNAcentral